Molecule: ribosomal RNA, 832 nt
Filed under: Brunneodinemasporium jonesii
Lineage: Eukaryota; Fungi; Ascomycota; Sordariomycetes; Chaetosphaeriales; Chaetosphaeriaceae
Description: LSU rRNA
Rfam family: Eukaryotic large subunit ribosomal RNA
Source: RNAcentral
UUGCCUCAGUAACGGCGAGUGAAGCGGCAACAGCUCAAAUUUGAAAUCUGGCCCCAGGCCCGAGUUGUAAUUUGCAGAGGAUGCUUCGGGCGCGGUGCCUUCCAAGUCCCCUGGAACGGGGCGCCACAGAGGGUGAGAGCCCCGUCGGGUCGGCCGCCAAGCCUGUGUGAAGCUCCUUCGACGAGUCGAGUAGUUUGGGAAUGCUGCUCUAAACGGGAGGUAGACCCCUUCUAAAGCUAAAUACCGGCCAGAGACCGAUAGCGCACAAGUAGAGUGAUCGAAAGAUGAAAAGCACUUUGAAAAGAGGGUUAAACAGUACGUGAAAUUGUUGAAAGGGAAGCGCUUGUGACCAGACGUGCACCGGGUGCUCAGCGGGCGUUCUCGCCCGUGCACUCGCUCCGGUGCAGGCCAGCGUCGGUUCGGGAGGGGGGACAAAGGCGUCAGGAACGUGGCUCUUAGGAGUGUUAUAGCCUGGCGUGUCAUGCCCCCGCCUGGACCGAGGUUCGCGCUCCGCAAGGACGCUGGCGUAAUGGUCCCCAGCGACCCGUCUUGAAACACGGACCAAGGAGUCGAGGUUUUGCGCGAGUGUUUGGGUGUCAAACCCGCACGCGUAAUGAAAGUGAACGCAGGUGGGAGCUUCGGCGCACCACCGACCGAUCCUGAUGUUCUCGGAUGGAUUUGAGUAGGAGCGUAGGGCCUCGGACCCGAAAGAUGGUGAACUAUACUUGGAUAGGGUGAAGCCAGAGGAAACUCUGGUGGAGGCUCGCAGCGGUUCUGACGUGCAAAUCGAUCGUCAAAUCUGAGUAUGGGGGCGAAAGACUAAUCGAACCAU